AAGUUAAAACUUUUUACCGAAUUGCUACACAAUUGCUCCUUCCGCCAUAGUUUUUUUUAAAAAUUUAUUUAGGAAUAUUAGAUAUUUAGAUGGGUUUGUGGAGCAGUGAAAGUGAUGAGAGAUACAGCUAGCCUCAAUAAUUAUGCCCAGAGAAAAAGUUGUUUUUUAUUGUAAAACUUUAGACAGCUUUUUCUCUUUUCCUUUAGCUGGGGUCGAGUUUACUGUGUUAAUCAUUUUUAUUUUAUGGGAACUGUGUUAAUCAUUUAAACUCUCUAAAUCUCCUCUCUCCCACUCGGUCUUACUCUCUCAUCACUCUCACUCUCUCAAUCACCCUCUCACUCUCUCAAUCUCGCUAUCAGCUCACUCUAGCUCUACCACACGCUUUCAAUCUCCCUCUCACUCUCGCUCUCACUCUCGUUCUCCCUCGCUGUCUCGCUCUCGCUCUGUACUCUCACUCUCGGUCUGCAUCUUCAGUUUGGAAUCACAAGGGCACCAUCAAACAACAUUUUAAUUGGGCAUAAUUAUUGAGGCUAGCUGUUCCGCACUUGUUGAUGCUACCACCGUUCUAAGCAAGACAUUACCACAGCUAUCUCUUCUCACUUUCAUUACUCCACAAACCCAUCUACAAUUCCUGAAAGUAAGAAAAAACUAUGGCGGAAGGAGCUUUGUUCGAUCUUGCAGGGAACGUCCUUCAACUGCUGGGCUCUGUCAUUGUUGAAGAGGUCAAACUGGCCUCUAGUGUUGAAACUGAGAUUGAAAAUCUAACCGACACAGUCACCACAAUCCGCGCUGUGCUUCUGGAUGCAGAAAUGCAGAGUUCUCAUAACCAUCAGAUCAAAGACUGGCUCAGUAAGCUCAAAGAUGUCCUCCAUGAUGUUGAUGAUUUGCUGGAUGAUUUCUCCACCGAAGUUAUGCGCCGCAAAGUGAUGACAAAGAAGGUACGCCUUUUCUCUUCAAGUUUAAACCCGCUUGCUUUUAGUCCUAAGAUGGGUCAUGAAAUAAAGGCAAUUAGGGAGAAACUAAAUGCCAUUGCAAAAGAUAAGGAGGCUUUUCACUUUAGUCAAAGCUUGGUUGAGCCACGAGUCAUGACUAGGGGGGACAGAGAAACUUAUUCUUUUGUACUCGAAGAUGAAGUUAUUGGGAGAGAGGAUGAUAAGAAAGAGAUUAUGAAACGUCUUUUUGAUGACAAUGUUGUAGCGAAUAUUUCUAUCAUUCCAAUUGUUGGUUUCGGAGGAUUGGGCAAGACGACACUGGCUCAAUUGGUAUACAAUGAUAAAAAUGUCCAAACAGAAUUUGAGAUAAAACUCUGGGUUUGUAUCUCUGAUGUCUUUGAUGUACAGCGGAUCGUUAAAGAAAUUUUAGAACAUUUGACAAAAAGGAAGCAUGAAGGAAGCAUUGAGAUGUUGCAAACUCGGCUUCGAGAAGAGCUUAAUGGAAAAAAAUACUUGAUUGUCUUGGAUGAUUUGUGGAAUGAGGAGAGUAAUAAAUGGCUUCUCUUGAGAAAUUUGUUAAUGGGUGGUGCUAGGGGAAGUAGGAUAAUAGUGACCACACGCUCAGAAAGUGUAGCGAGGAUAAUAGGGGCAACUUCAUGGCAUGCUCUAAGAGGCCUACCUGAAGAAAAGGCUUGGAGUUUGUUUGUGAAAGUAGCAUUUGAAAAUGGUCAACUGCCAAAGAAUGAAGCCUUUGAAAGUUUGGGUAGGGAGAUUAUGCGGAAGUGUGGUGGGGUACCUCUAGCCAUAAGGACGAUAGCAAGCUUGCUAUGCACCAAAGCUACAGAAAAUGAGUGGCGAUCCUUCAAAGAUUAUGAACUAUCAAAAAUAACUCAAGAAGAAGAAAAUGUUAUUUUAUCAACGCUUAAGUUGAGUUAUAAUCAUCUACCAUCGUAUUUAAAACAAUGCUUUGCUUAUUGUAGAUUGUUUCCAAAAGAUUAUAAGAUUAAUGUAACAACAUUGAUUAAUCUUUGGGUAGCACAAGGUUUUAUUAAGUUAUCAGAUUCAAAGCAACGUGUUGAGGAUGUAGGGCGAGAAUACUUUAUGGUAUUACUUCGGAGAUGUUUUUUUCAAGAUGUGCAAAAAAAUGAUUGUGACAUUAUAUUAUUUUGCAAAAUGCAUGAUCUCAUGCAUGAUCUUGCAGCUCUUGUUGCUGGGAUGGAGAGUACCAUGCUAACUUCGAGUGGGGAGUUUAAUGGUAAAAAAGUUCGUCAUGUAUCAUUUGAUCUUGAAGAUUCCUCAAGGAAACUUUCAAUUUUUAAAGGAAUGAAGAUACGAACAAUUCUUAUAGCUAGUGUAGGGGGGAAAUUGGGGAACUUAAUUUGCAAUGCACUUGUUUCAAAUCUCAAUUAUUUACGAACAUUAGAUUUAAGUGAAUUAAAUCUACGUGUAGUGCCACAUUCAAUUGGGGAAUUAAAACAUUUAAGAUAUCUUGAUCUUUCUAAUAAUGAAGAUAUUGAAUUUCUCCCUAAUUCCAUUACCAAGCUGCUAAAUUUGUUAACGCUAAAUCUUGACGGUUGUUACUCACUUAAAGAAUUACCCAGGGGUAUUAAGAAGUUGGUCAAUCUUAGGCAUUUAGACGUUAGUUUUUGUAGGAAAUUGACGCAUAUGCCCCUUGGACUUGGGCAUCUUACUUCUCUUGCAAUACUAACAAAGUUUGUCGCGAGGCAAGAGGGUGUGAAGGCUAGCUCGUGUGGUUGGUAUGAGAAAAAACAGGCUAAGUCUGGUGGUGGGCUAAGUGAAUUGAAGGAGCUGAGCAAUUUGGGAGGAAGUCUAUAUAUUGAAAAUUUGGGACAUGGAGAAGAUGACAUGGUGGAAUGUAAAGCCACAAAUAUGAAGCAGAAACAACAUCUUCAAGAGCUGGUAUUACAGUGGGAUGAAAAGUGGGAUGAUGGAGAAAACGAAUGUUAUGAUGAAAUGUCACUAGAAGGCCUCCAGCCACAUUCAAAUCUUAAUGCGUUGGGAUUGUUUUAUUAUAUGGGUGAGAGAAUUCCAAGUUGGGUCUCUUCUCUCACUAAUCUUGUUCGUUUUCGAUUAUUUGGAAAUAGGAGAUUGCAGCACCUCCCACCGUUAAAUCAACUCCCUUUUCUCAAGUCUGUCUCUCUUGAGGGAAUGGAAGCACUUGAAUACAUAUCAGAUGAAGACAGUGUUAGUAACGUGUUGGGUGCUUCCUCUUCUUCUUCUUCUUCAAAAACACCAUUCUUCCCAUCCUUAUCUUCUCUAUUUAUAGAGGAAUGCCCAAAACUGAAGGGAUGGUGGAGGAAUUCAGAUGAUAAUGAGCCACACCAUCUCUUACUUCCAUCAUUUCCUCCUUCUGUUUCGGAAUUAACUAUCGUCGGUUGCCCUAACCUGACUUCCAUGCCCCUGAUUCCCCCCUCUUUGAAAGAGCCAUGUAUUGAUGGUUGUCCCCUCUUACGGCUACACGAAGGAAACAGUGAAGAUUGUCCCAAAUAAUCCAACAAGAAAAAACAAUUUAUUCAGAAUCUGAUUUAGAAUUGGAGUUGGUUUGUUCACUUCCAGAGGGGGAAUUUUUUCAGACCCUGUUUGAAUAUUGGGCAACAUUGCGCAUGUUCUUUUCAUUAAUCAAUGCAAAGAAGAGGAGACCAACAUGCAGGGCCCCCACACUAGUAGGGGGGAUAGUGGACGUGGAACUUUUAAGCCAUUGAGAGGUAGAACGAGUAAGGAUGGUUGAGACAUGAUUGGUAAGAGAAGCAGUUUGAUUAAAUAUCCCAAAGAUGGAGUAAUUCACUGCAAAGAAAUGCAGAGAGGGGGGUGGCAUUGAAACCAAAAGGAUUUUCAAAGAUGGUUCUACAAAAAUCAAGCAUCAACUUUCAAUAGAUUGAGUGAAUUCUUAAUUUUGUUGUUUUCUCUUUUUGUGCUGUCUGGAGCUCAUUGUUGUGUACAAGCAGUGCAGGGCAAAUUCAUGCUUGCUUUGUUGAUGGCUUUUGAGACUUCCACAACAAAGGACCUCUUUGAUGCUAGGGUGGAUGGAGGUCACUGUGUCGUAUUUGAAGUAGGUGUGAAGUGUGAAGAUGAUCCAUAUAUGUGUAUUCUAGAGAAAAGGGAAAGGGAGCAUUUUUCAUAAGGGACUAGAAUUAGGGUGAUAAAGCCGCUUGGUGAAGUUGUUUGUCAUGGAAGAUAUGGCAACUAGAGCUUUGUCGAACCAUAUGCUCUUUACAAGCAAGUUUUCAGAAGCAUAUUUGCCUUAAUUUCUUAAGGUGAGCCAUUGUUUUGGGUUAAAUAUAGAGGCAAAUAGAGCUAUUGUUUCCUCUACAGAUGACAGUUCCUCUAAGAAUGCAACCUGUCUCAUAACCCCUAAUUUGUGAAACUUGAGCCUACAUGUUUGUUUGUGGUAAAUUUCUACAUUCCUUUUUUUAUUUUUAAGUAUCUGAGAUACUUAUUAGAUUUUUAAAAGUAUCUUGUCUCACAUUCUGGGGUGAAAAGUUGCUUUCACACAUAACCAUAUGUGUAGUAGAUAUGUGAAGACACAUAUUUCUCUAUCUCCUUUCUUAUUGUUCCUUAGGAUGUCAGCCAUUAUACAGCCGUGUAGUUCCCCAUUGAAGGGUUGUCAAACGGUGACUAUACAGCACUAAGCAAACAAAGUCUUGAAUCUAGCUAUCACAAUGAAUAUGUUUAAAGAUCACAUAAUGAUGUGGAAUGGUCAUAUUAGUCCCUUUGGAGAAGUAUUAGUCACCUUCAACUGUUUUGUUAGAGAAAUGAGGACAAUUGAGUAGAUCUAGUUAGUCCAACCGGAAUGCUGAAAUUGCAAUUCUCAACUUGUUGAUUAAUAUUGCCAAGUAGACGGUCAAGUAUAUGUAUUUCACUUCAAAAUUUUUAAUUUGGGUGGCCAAUUUUGUGUGAGGUUUUGGUGGAUCAACUUAUUGGGUUCCUCUUGCAAUUAUAACUUGGGAGCUCUUUGUACUUGUAUGUAUACCAAUUAAUGUUUGGAGGUUUUAUUUAUUUAUUUUUCUUAUGGGGAUGAAAACUUUGGUAAGAAAUU
RNA transcript from Quercus lobata, 4989 nucleotides. It is a transcript of the gene named putative disease resistance protein RGA4, with no coding region annotated. NCBI's taxonomy places the organism in Eukaryota, Viridiplantae, Streptophyta, Magnoliopsida, Fagales, Fagaceae. The record is from RefSeq and is a predicted model, not a curated record. The transcript has 11 exons.